AACGAACGCUGGCGGCAUGCCUAACACAUGCAAGUCGAACGAGACCUUCGGGUCUAGUGGCGCACGGGUGCGUAACGCGUGGGAACCUGCCCUUAGGUUCGGAAUAACUCCCCGAAAGGGGUGCUAAUACCGGAUAAUGUCUUCGGACCAAAGAUUUAUCGCCUUUGGAUGGGCCCGCGUUGGAUUAGCUAGUUGGUAGGGUAAAAGCCUACCAAGGCGACGAUCCAUAGCUGGUAUGAGAGGAUGAUCAGCCACACUGGGACUGAGACACGGCCCAGACUCCUACGGGAGGCAGCAGUGGGGAAUAUUGGACAAUGGGCGAAAGCAUGAUCCAGCAAUGCCGCGUGAGUGAUGAAGGCCUUAGGGUUGUAAAGCUCUUUUACCCGGGAUGAUAAUGACAGUACCGGGAGAAUAAGCUCCGGCUAACUCCGUG
This 433-nucleotide ribosomal RNA is filed under the name uncultured bacterium. Its description in RNAcentral is "partial 16S ribosomal RNA". It matches the Rfam family "Bacterial small subunit ribosomal RNA", at positions 29 to 507 of the family's 1533-position model. The record is from RNAcentral.